Long non-coding RNA from Cercocebus atys (sooty mangabey), 1412 nucleotides. RefSeq lists it as uncharacterized. The record is from RefSeq and is a predicted model, not a curated record. NCBI's taxonomy places the organism in Eukaryota, Metazoa, Chordata, Mammalia, Primates, Cercopithecidae. The transcript is spliced from 3 exons.
UGGCCUCAGAGUGGAUUUCCUGUGAUUGCCACCAUUAUUAGCACUGACUUUUCCUUGAAAAACGGGCGCCCCGUGGCCAUGGGCCGACCUGGGCAGUUUCUGCAGGGGUGAGCGUAGAGUUUUGGGUCGCGGGUUACCACCUACUUUCCGGCUCCAGGUCUUAGUCUAAGAGGGAGUGUCUGCUCAUGAAGAGGCAAAGCGCCAAGAGCUGCCAAAAAGCCUUGCAUGGGCCAUCUGAGCGAUGUGCUGAGUCGGCUUGUUAAAAAGGACAGGCAAAGCCUGCGGGGUGGAGCGGCUUUCUCGGCCUGAGCACGUCUUGGUUGAGCCAGAGGGAGGGACCAGAUGGAGAAGGUGUUUUUGAUGGAAAACUCACUGUGGUGUCUGCCUGAUUGAUCUUGAAUGAUGGCAAGUGGGCACUUAUCAGGUAACUGGAACCACAAAAACUGAAACAGUGGAUAAGAGAGACACUCCUGUACCAAAGAAAAAAAAGAGUGUUGGAGCUGGGAUUGCUUUACUGCACAAAAUAUACUUCAAAACAAGGAAACUACCAGAGUUAAAAAUAGAGUGUUCAAUAACACAGUUGAAUGACUGAGUUAGACUGCAUAACUGACACACAAAACAACGUAAAUAUAAAUGAAGAAAUCUCUGGGUAUAAUCUGGUGCAAAGGUGACUGUGUUAAUCACUAAUCCACAAAUUGCUAUCCUGAAGUGUGCCAAAUGCUUUAUGUUUAUUUUGUUACAUAGCUCUAUAAAGAAAGGAUUUUUAAUCCCAUUCUACAGAAGUGGAAAGUGAGUCUUAAGACUCAAAAAACUUUAAAAACUAUAAGGAAGUAACAACUUUUACUAAUUCCUUUUGUGUUUUUCCAGAAUCUCUCUCUCUAUAGGAAUGUGAUAUGAAUCUAUAUGUGAAUUGAUUCUACAUGAAUAUUGAUGACUUUUAUUCCCCCUUUUGCACAUAAGAUAGAAUAUUUUACAUACUAUUCUACACUUUGCUUUUCUUAACGUAUCAUGGGAUCUUUUUAUAUAAGUGAACAAAGAGUUUCUUCAUUCUGUCACACAGUUUCAUAGUAUUCCUUUAUAUGAUUAUGUAAUCAUUUAAUUAAAAACUCUUUUUUGAUGGGUGUUUGGAUUAUCUCUAAUAUUUUGCUGUUACAAACAACAAUAUGACUUCUGCUUCCAAUUAAAAUAUAGAAUGCAAAAUACCAUUAUUCAUAUGAUAACAAUAACAAAAAACCCUGAAAAAAUAAAAAUCAUACUUAUUUGUGGCAAUUACCAAAGAACAGUGGAGAGGGUAAGCUUUGAUGAGCUGAAUUACUGGGCAUGACGGUGAGCAGAGAGCCCACAGCUUCUUUCACACUUGAGGGAAAGUACCUGAUUUCUAUGUGGGAAGGUGGAGAAGCAGGGCUCUAUCA